UACGGAGGAUGCGAGCGUUAUCCGGAUUUAUUGGGUUUAAAGGGUGCGUAGGCGGGCUUUUAAGUCAGCGGUAAAAAUUCGGGGCUCAACCCCGUCCGGCCGUUGAAACUGGGGGUCUUGAGUGGGCGAGAAGAAGGCGGAAUGCGUGGUGUAGCGGUGAAAUGCAUAGAUAUCACGCAGAACCCCGAUUGCGAAGGCAGCCUUCCGGCGCCCUACUGACGCUGAGGCACGAAAGCGUGGGUAUCGAACAGG
RNAcentral lists this ribosomal RNA (252 nucleotides) under uncultured bacterium. RNAcentral describes it as "partial 16S ribosomal RNA". It matches the Rfam family "Bacterial small subunit ribosomal RNA", at positions 524 to 776 of the family's 1533-position model. The record is from RNAcentral.